Molecule: ribosomal RNA, 253 nt
Filed under: uncultured bacterium
Lineage: Bacteria
Description: partial 16S ribosomal RNA
Rfam family: Bacterial small subunit ribosomal RNA
Source: RNAcentral
UACGUAGGGUGCAGGCGUUAAUCGGAAUUACUGGGCGUAAAGCGUGCGCAGGCGGUUUCUUAAGUCAGAUGUGAAAGCCCCGGGCUUAACCUGGGAAUGGCAUUUGGGACUGCAAGGCUUGAGUGCGGCAGAGGAGACUGGAAUUCCUGGUGUAGCAGUGAAAUGCGUAGAUAUCAGGAGGAAUACCGAUGGCGAAGGCAGGUCUCUGGGCUGACACUGACGCUCAUGCACGAAAGCGUGGGGAGCAAACAGG